Molecule: ribosomal RNA, 547 nt
Filed under: uncultured bacterium
Lineage: Bacteria
Description: bacterial SSU rRNA
Rfam family: Bacterial small subunit ribosomal RNA
Source: RNAcentral
UGGGGAAUAUUGCGCAAUGGGGGGAACCCUGACGCAGCCAUGCCGCGUGAAUGAAGAAGGCCUUAGGGUUGUAAAGUUCUUUCGGUAUUGAGGAAGGUUGAUGUGUUAAUAGCACAUCAAAUUGACGUUAAAUACAGAAGAAGCACCGGUUAACUCCGUGCCAGCAGCCGCGGUAAUACGGAGGGUGCGAGCGUUAAUCGGAAUAACUGGGCGUAAAGGGCACGCAGGCGGUUAUUUAAGUGAGGUGUGAAAGCCCCGGGCUUAACCUGGGAAUUGCAUUUCAGACUGGGUAACUAGAGUACUUUAGGGAGGGGUAGAAUUCCACGUGUAGCGGUGAAAUGCGUAGAGAUGUGGAGGAAUACCGAAGGCGAAGGCAGCCCCUUGGGAAUGUACUGACGCUCAUGUGCGAAAGCGUGGGGAGCAAACAGGAUUAGAUACCCUGGUAGUCCACGCUGUAAACGCUGUCGAUUUGGGGGUUGGGGUUUAACUCUGGCGCCCGUAGCUAACGUGAUAAAUCGACCGCCUGGGGAGUACGGCCGCAAGGUUA